Molecule: unclassified non-coding RNA, 209 nt
Filed under: Hevea brasiliensis (rubber tree)
Lineage: Eukaryota; Viridiplantae; Streptophyta; Magnoliopsida; Malpighiales; Euphorbiaceae
Source: RNAcentral
GGUUGUGGAGGUGGUUGUGAUCUAGGGAAAAGAGGAAAUGGAAUUCCAUUAAGACCAAAGGUUUUACAUAUAUUAGGACAGAUUUGGAAGCAAGCACCGUUACACUUACCAUCAAUAUUAUGAGAAUCACAAUCUGCUGCACAAAAGGCAUUCAAGUUGUUUGGUAGAAGUCCUAUUUUUAUACGAGCAGGAUCAGGAUCAAGAUCCAU